This 357-nucleotide transfer-messenger RNA is filed under the name Pseudomonadales. RNAcentral's name for it is "Bermanella sp002683575 Standard tmRNA". It matches the Rfam family "transfer-messenger RNA". Rfam says of the family: Bacterial tmRNA, also known as 10Sa RNA or SsrA, is named for its dual tRNA and mRNA-like properties. Its role is to liberate the mRNA from a stalled ribosome. Lineage: Bacteria; Pseudomonadati; Pseudomonadota; Gammaproteobacteria. RNAcentral also lists the same sequence under 1 other name. The record is from RNAcentral.
GGGGACGAUUUUGGAUUCGACGCCGAUGAUGAAGCUUUAGGUGCAUGUGGUGAGGGUAUAACGAUCACCUAAAUCCCCGUUGUACAUUUUAAUAGUCGCAAACGACGAAAACUACGCACUAGCGGCUUAAUUGCCGCUAAUCUCCGCGUCUGGAUGCUUAUAAACAGACAACGAGAGCAUCGCAGAAUAAGCUCGCACGGGAGGCUCGCCUAAGGCCAAACUGCUAAAUAGUAUUAGGCUCACCCUAAGCACCCUGUCUUUCGGGCGGUGAUGGGCUAAACUAAUAGAAAGAAUAAACAUGUAGAACCGAGAGGGGAGUGUUGGCGGACGCGGGUUCGAACCCCGCCGUCUCCACCA